GGGGAAGACGAAGGCCCAACGCCAUCUUGGGCCUCGCUGCUCCGACAACGCGCAACCUGACCGUCGAGCUGGUUUGCUUGCUCAGACGAUGCAUUCUAAUCUUGAAUUGCAGAUGGAGUCCAGUAAAGGAGCAACUGACAAGGGAUUGAUGUGACCAACUUGCACCAGCCCACAGGUGUCGCCAUGCUUCUGGCGCCAACAUAUCAUGCCCUCAACUCCUAACCCGUACUUCUUUGGAAUGUGGGAGGAAACCAGAGCACCCAGAGGAAACCCACGCAGUCACGGGGAGGAUGUACAAACUCCUUACAGACAGUGGCGGGAAUUGAACCCAGGUCGCUGG
Pristis pectinata (smalltooth sawfish) is the source of this 340-nucleotide long non-coding RNA. RefSeq lists it as uncharacterized. The transcript is spliced from 3 exons. NCBI's taxonomy places the organism in Eukaryota, Metazoa, Chordata, Chondrichthyes, Rhinopristiformes, Pristidae. The record is from RefSeq and is a predicted model, not a curated record.